This 252-nucleotide ribosomal RNA is filed under the name uncultured bacterium. RNAcentral describes it as "partial 16S ribosomal RNA". It matches the Rfam family "Bacterial small subunit ribosomal RNA", at positions 525 to 776 of the family's 1533-position model. The record is from RNAcentral.
ACGGAGGAUGCAAGCGUUAUCCGGAAUAAUUGGGCGUAAAGCGUUCGUAGGUGGUUCUGUAAGUCUGCUGUUAAAGCGUGUAGCUCAACUACAUAUAGGCGGUGGAAACUACAAAACUUGAGUGCGUUCGGGGUAGAGGGAAUUCCUGGUGUAGCGGUGAAAUGCGUAGAGAUCAGGAAGAACACCGGUGGCGAAGGCGCUCUACUAGACCGCAACUGACACUGAGGGACGAAAGCUAGGGGAGCGAAUGGG